UACGGGGGGGGCUAGCGUUGUUCGGAAUUACUGGGCGUAAAGGGCGCGUAGGCGGCCUAUUAAGUCGGACGUGAAAUCCCUCGGCUCAACCGGGGAACUGCGUCCGAUACUGGUGGGCUCGAAUCCGGGAGAGGGAUGUGGAAUUCCAGGUGUAGCGGUGAAAUGCGUAGAUAUCUGGAGGAAUACCGGUGGCGAAGGCGGCAUCCUGGACCGGCAUUGACGCUGAGGAGCGAAAGCCAGGGGAGCAAACGGG
This 253-nucleotide ribosomal RNA is filed under the name uncultured bacterium. Its description in RNAcentral is "partial 16S ribosomal RNA". It matches the Rfam family "Bacterial small subunit ribosomal RNA", at positions 524 to 776 of the family's 1533-position model. The record is from RNAcentral.